RNAcentral lists this ribosomal RNA (316 nucleotides) under uncultured Methylophilus sp. Its description in RNAcentral is "bacterial SSU rRNA". It matches the Rfam family "Bacterial small subunit ribosomal RNA", at positions 101 to 420 of the family's 1533-position model. Lineage: Bacteria; Pseudomonadati; Pseudomonadota; Betaproteobacteria; Nitrosomonadales; Methylophilaceae. The record is from RNAcentral.
AACGGGUGAGUAAUAUAUCGGAACGUACCCAGUAAUGGGGGAUAACUAGUCGAAAGAUUAGCUAAUACCGCAUACGCCCUGAGGGGAAAAGCGGGGGACCGUAAGGCCUCGCGUUAUUGGAGCGGCCGAUAUCUGAUUAGCUAGUUGGUGGGGUAAAGGCCUACCAAGGCGACGAUCAGUAGCUGGUCUGAGAGGAUGAUCAGCCACACUGGAACUGAGACACGGUCCAGACUCCUACGGGAGGCAGCAGUGGGGAAUUUUGGACAAUGGGCGCAAGCCUGAUCCAGCCAUUCCGCGUGAGUGAAGAAGGCCUUCG